RNAcentral lists this small nuclear RNA (99 nucleotides) under Carlito syrichta (Philippine tarsier). Lineage: Eukaryota; Metazoa; Chordata; Mammalia; Primates; Tarsiidae. The record is from RNAcentral.
ACAGAGUGCUCAUUUUGGCAGUACUAAAAUUUGGAUGAUACAGACAAGAGUACCCCUGAGCAAGGAUGACAUGCAAAUUGUGAAGUGUUCCAUUUUUUA